This 448-nucleotide ribosomal RNA is filed under the name uncultured bacterium. Its description in RNAcentral is "SSU rRNA". It matches the Rfam family "Bacterial small subunit ribosomal RNA", at positions 26 to 518 of the family's 1533-position model. The record is from RNAcentral.
AGAGCGAACGCUGGCGGCAGGCUUAACACAUGCAAGUCGAGCGGAUGUAGCAAUACAUCAGCGGCAGACGGGAGAGGAACACGUGGGAACGCGCCCUUUGGUUCGGAAUAACUCAGGGAAACUUGAGCUAAUACCGGAUAAGCCCUUACGGGGAAAGAUUUAUCGCCAAAAGAACGGCCCGCGUCCGAUUAGCUAGUUGGUGAGGUAAUGGCUCACCAAGGCGACGAUCGGUAGCUGGUCUGAGAGGAUGACCAGCCUCACUGGGACUGAGACACGGCCCAGACUCCUACGGGAGGCAGCAGUGGGAAUAUUGGACAAUGGGCGCAAGCCUGAUCCAGCCAUGCCGCGUGAGUGAUGAAGGCCUUAGGGUUGUAAAGCUCUUUUGGCAGGGACGAGUGAUGACGGUACCUGCAGAAUAAGCCCGGCUAACUUCGCGCCAGCACGCCGC